RNAcentral lists this long non-coding RNA (4788 nucleotides) under Sus scrofa (pig). RNAcentral describes it as "lncRNA (ENSSSCG00005026912.1)". Lineage: Eukaryota; Metazoa; Chordata; Mammalia; Artiodactyla; Suidae. The record is from RNAcentral.
GCACAAAGUGUCAUCUGGUGAUCUAAUGCUGAGUAAAGCAAAACUAGUACCAAAUUAUUACAAUGUUCAAUUAUGCCUUCUCUUCAUGAUGCUCUGGAAGGCGAUGAAAAAGCUAAAUUGAUUUCCACAUUAUAAAGAGGCAGGCAUCUCUAUAUUUUUAUUUAAAAAAAAUCCAAUUUUUUAAAAUUAAUGUUUUUUAAUUCAAUGAAUUUAAAAAAUCCAUUGAUAAUUACAUAAAUAUUGAAGUUUUUGUUAUGGUUUUGAAAACUAAGAGUUCCAGGAAAAAUGGUGAAACUUUUCAAAGGGCUGGUCUUUAGGGAGGUCAUUUUCAUCUAUCCAGGAAGGUCACUGCUAUGGCCUGGAGCCCCCCCGUACAGGAGCCGUCCCUGUGAUGCUGCAUUAGCGAGACAUCACUGCUUCCAUGUAUAAUGAUCAUACGGAGGCCUUUCCAGAUAUAAACCACGAUGUAACAAGGACACGUACUAAGCCAAAAUAAUAUUUUCAGCUAAUGGUGUUUGUGUGGUUGUGAAAUGUUUAUUGAUUAAGAGGGAAUCCCUUGAGCUCGGAAAACAACUGUGGAGGUGAAUAUUUAGUAGAUCCUCGAGGGCAGAGGGAAAGUCAGAGUCUGCAGGAUACCGUAGGACUCCUGACCUUGCAUCUUUUCUCAUCUCAUCUUUUUUUUUUUUUUUUUCCUUUUUUCAGGCCAUGCUCUUGGCAUAUGGAAGUUCCCAGGCUAGGGGUUGAAUCGGGGCUGUAGCCGCCAGCCUACACCACAGCCACAGCAGUGCCUGAUCCGAGCUGCAUCUGUGGCCUACGCCACAGCUCACAGCAACACUGGAUCCUUAACCCACUGAGCGAGGCCAGGAAUUGAACCCACAUCCUCAUGAAUACUAGUCAGGUUCUUAACCCCCUAAGCCACAGGGGAACUCCUCAUCUUUCUUAACUGACAUUUACAAACUGAACCAUUGGAGAAUGACAGGCCUCUUGUAUCCUUGCUAUUGGGGGGAGGCAUAUAUCGAACUGUCUUACAUACAGAGCACUAGGGAUAUGAAAGAAACGGGGAGGCGACAAGUGGCCUGAGCAGGGUCAUGACCUAGUUAUGACACACAAGGGCUGUUGUUACAGGGUGUGGGCUGCACGGUGAGGAAUGGGGGGAGCCGGGGAGAGGGGUGCCCUUUAUCCUGGGCAAGAGCCACUGCAGCCACGCCAAGAGCUGCGGGGAGAAGCAUGGUUGUGCCCGGGGCAUGAGCCAGGCCCAGGGAACAGGGGUGGGGGGUGACCUGGGAGUCGGGAGAGAUGCUUGUCACAAAGCUUGGUUGGGGUUCACCAACAGAGACAGAAGCCCGCGAGGCAGCAAGGGUACCCACCGUGAUCUGAAGAGAGGGCACUGAAGCUGAGAAGAAACAAGCCAUCGACAGCUGAAACAAACAAGCCUUGGCAGAGUCCGAGGGUGCGUGGGGACAUCCACACGCAGCUUGAACGGGAAAAGGCCACCGAGGCUCGGUUUGCUCCAUGUCCUGGUUCCUUGGUAAAGUCAGGUGUGCUGUCGUCCCAGGUUCACAGGGAGGAAACUGGGCGGUGAUUCCAAGCGCCCUUCAGUCACGUCAACAUCGGGAGCUGAGCUGGGACCGGAGCUCCCUGCCCUGGAGCUUUCCGCUACCAGGUGAGGCCAGGUCCUGUGAUCUUCCAGGGCUAAACAUCUCCUUGCAAGAAAAAGCUUUUGUUUCUAAGCGCGUGACGGCUUGAUGGGCAGUGGGCUGCGGAGACGGCGGUGUGGCUUGUGCAGACCUAUCUGGGGAGAACCACAGGACUGGCUUGGGAACUGGUCUGAAUCUGAGGUGACUGGGUUUUUAGAGUCUUUUCUAGAGAUACGAGGUGUGGUGCCUGGCACUGAGACUUGUAUUCAGUAGUACAGAUUCUAUCCUGACCAUUGAGCCUGUGCUGGGCUAAUUAUUUUUGUCUAAAAUGAAGUUAUUCAUCUGCUUUCUAGGCAGUGAAGCAAGAGCUUUUGCAUGUAGGUUUGAACCCUCAGUGGAGAUUUCAGGAAGUCACUACAUGUAAGGCUACUGACAUUGUUUAUGUCAUUUGAAGCUUUCUGAACAUUAGCUUGAUUGAUAGACAAUGAAUCUUGGUCACAUCUUGUUUUUCAACUGGAAGUGCCCUUAUCUGGCAGUUGUAUCUCGAGUUACUGCUAAUUGGUUACAAACAAGAGCCCAGGCACUGCUAUGCCGUAUUCUAGAAUGUUCUGCAAACAAGUGCAGUCUUGGAUUUAUAGUAUCAACGAACACUGAGGUGGAAGAGGCCCCUCUUCUUGCAACUGACCUCUUACUGUGGGGAGUUCGUGUAAAGAAAAUAACCUUGGACUUUAUGAAAGACCCUCUGGGGUCUAAGGUAAAGGACAGAAUGAAGCCAUGACUAAUCAGGAACCACUAGGCAUGUUUCUUAAAAAAUGGUGGGUGGGUCAUCAGAGCACAACAUUCUGAGCUGUUUGCUGGCCGUGGGCAUUCUUGGGCUUCCCUUGAGAACUACUGAGUGAAAUAGUCUUUGGGAGAAAAUUUGGGAGCCUGAAUAUGAAAUAACUCCAGGUGGUCCUGCGCGUGCUGAGUUUGAGAACCCUGCAUUUGAGGCGGGACGCAGACUUCGGCACGGGUCGGCUCCCCAGUACCCCCUCGUCUGGACUCUCCACCAUCCCCACAACUCCUUGAUGAAACACAUUUAACUUUCUCACACUUCCCGAAGAGACAGAUUUUGUAUGUUCAAACUGUUCCUUUCAGUCAAUGAACAUACAUCUGGGUGGAGUUCCCGUCGUGGCUCAGUGGUAACGAAUCCCACUAGGAUCCAUGAGGACGUGGGUUCGAUCCCUGGCCUUGCUCAGUGGGUUAAGGAUCCAGCGUUGCUGUGAGCUGUGGAAGAAAAUACAUCUGGGAGAAUUAGGGGUUCUCACCACGUGCACAUCUAACACCUGACUGAUACCGGGGAAGUUCCACUUAGCAGUUGUGUUUCUCAGACUCGGGUAUUUAACGGAACCCUUUAAAAAAAAAAAAGGUCAACCUCAGAGUUGUGACUUAAGGUUUUCUUUGACAACGUUAUGUAUAGGAGCGGAUAUCAUAUUUGAUGUAAACUAUGAGGAUAAACCUCAUUGAUGCCUGAAGUCAAAGCAAGAUGUGAAAUGAAAUAAAAACAAAACUAUAAAACUGACAAAAAUUCAAAGUGGCACCGUUGACCUGAGACAGAUGGUGUUGUUUGCUGAAACUAAAUUGUACCUGUUAGGUUUACAGCAGAAGGAUGUAGCUUCAAGUCCAGUUCUAUUUUUGAUGAAAUUAAUUGUGGACAGUCUUCGUUUGCUAAAUCAUACUAAUUAGACUUCAUACAUAACCAAACUUUCUCUACCAGCAGUCCACCAGUGCCACUGGCAAUGAGGUUUCCCAGGAAAUCUCAGAAGAUCCCCAGUCUUCUAGAUUAGGAGCUUUUAUUUUCUUUUUUGGGGAUAAAGAACCAGAUAUUAAAUCUUUAGGUUUCGUAAGCUAAGAGGAAAACCGAGGCUAUUAUGUAGAUACUUAUAUAAUAAGAAAAUGUCUUGUCAGACAAAUAGGCACUGCUGAAUACUAAACUAAUCAUGAGCAAAUGAUCUGAUUGAGACUUAAUUGCUUGAGGCACUCGUAGAAUAUGUUUGUAAAAUAUAUGUAAUGUAUAUACAUAUAUUAUUCAAUACAUGUCCUUUCCUUGAUAUUUGCCUUUCAGCGUGUUACAGUGUGGAUUAAUCACUUCGAUUGGAGGUUUAAUGUAAACUCCGAGACGACACAAUUAGAGGGAUUUGGAAAUAUGGGACUUUGCAUGUCCAUCGAGAGCCAAAAAAACUCGGGUGUAACUGUAGGCUGAGCUCAGAAGAUGCAUUCUCUGCACAUCUGUGGGGAAUGGAGAGGUUAUUUCUCAUUUCAGGUUUUGACAGCAUAGGAAAUGAAUAUAGCAACUUGAUAUUACUUGUGAUUCAAACAACCUUAGUCAUUGGAGUUCCCGUUGUGGCUCAGUGGUUAACAAAUCUGACUAACAUCCAUGAGGAUGCAGGUUCAAUUCCUGGACUUGCCCAGUGGGUUAAGGAUCUGGCAUUGCCAUGAGCUGUGGUGUAGGUUACAGACGUGGCUCAGAUCCCGAGUUGCUGUGGCUGUGGUACAGGCUGGCGGCUACUGCUCCAACUCGACCCCUAGCCUGGGAACCUCCAUAUGCCCCCGGUGCAGCCCUCAAAGACAAAACAAACAAACAAAAAACAACUUUAGUUGUUAUCAACAUGACUUCGUUGCAGUAUAAAUUCUGCAUAAACUCAAUUUUGCCUUAUAGUUUUAGGCUCAACUCAUGAAGAAGCAUUUUCAAGUCCGCAACCCGAGCUGAUUUCCAAGGUCAUUCAGAGUUUAUAACAGUGGUUGAGGAAAAGUCCUCAUUCAGAAAAAUUUCAUCUUGACCCCGAAUUGAAAAAAAAAAUCUCAAUAUAAUUUUACCAUUGCUAAACCACUGGACUGCUGUGUGGAAGGGCAAGCAAGGGUUUGCUUCUUUUUGGAACAAAACGUCACACAACUGAAAAUUAUUAACUCUGUGACAGUGGAAGGCCAGUACUGACACUGAGUUUUAAAAGGCGCGGUAGUCAAAUGUUUUCCUCAGAAGUACCUGCCGAUGAAUCACACAAUGAGUGCAAGGAAGUCUUUAUAAACACCUCACAUUCUCAGAAACUUUGUGCAGGCGUUCCUCUGUACCCGCAGGGGACUGGUUCCAGGAUACCUCCCUCCUCCACCUCCA